CGCCAACCCCGGGACCCUGGGCGGCCUGCUGGCUGCAGCCUUGGCCGAGGCUGUCCCUAACAAAUGCCCUGCAGGGAGGGCGGUCCGGAGGAUCUUUGGGGCAGCUGUUGUGCAUUUCUUGCUUUGCCUGAGAAUUUUCUUUAGGUUGGGGAGGAACGCUCCCAAAGCGCAGCGUCAACAGGCCUGGUUUAGGGAGGUGCUAUGCUUUUGCCCUUGUGGGAAGGCGCCCACCGCUGGGACGGGGCGAACACUGUGGAGUGGGGUUCGGUCUUGGUGAUCAUAGGUGAGGGAAGUUUGCCACCUAGAGCCGGGCCGUGGAAGUGAGAACGUGUGUGUCCGAAGCUCUUUCUCGGGCUCAAAGGGACAAGGUUGUCAACAAAUCGUAACGGGACUUACUUUGAUUUGAAAAUUCACAGAAAGUCGUUGGUAGUCAUUGCGGGAGUCUACGUGAUAUUUCCGAAAUAGGAAACAUCUUCAUAUAUUAUUUUUCCACACAAAUUUGCUAAAUAAGUGCGAUCAAAUGUUUGCAUGUUUGUAAAUGAAUAGAAAGCAUUUUAAGAAUGUGUCUCUUGGCAUUACAGGCAUUGCCCUUGUAUGCCCAUGCUCUUAUUGCAAUGUCUAUUUUAGGCACAAAUAGCCCGGAUGCCAGUGCAGAACAUUUCAGAGUAUCUCGUGAAGCCUUCGAAACUUUAUUCUAAAUUAUUUUCAAAGGGUCUGCCUUUGGCUUUCUGAGAAGUGCCUCGUGAAGAUUAGGAAUCCUGCAUUACAAGAUUAGUCUUUUAUUUGAGGGGAUAGGCACCAUGCUCCACAAUCCUACAAAAGAGCUGCAGAAGACUAAAAAAAGAAGUUCUUCGGAACUGUUCUGUGUGCUGUUGGCCUUGUGACACGCCUGUCUGUAACCAUUUAUCACUGGGACAUUUUCUCAUCAGUAGACAAAGGAUAUAUUCCCUACUUGGCGUGUAGGGCUUCAGCUGCUCAGCCUCAUGAAUGUUAAUGGGAAUACAACCUUCUUUCUGCAUAUAGGUUACUUUUCUAUUUUAAUGUCAAUGGGCAGUGGAAUCCUUGUGAGAGCCUGGGUGAUGAAGUUUCCAGCACUUGCACACAACUGCUACCUAAUUAUUUGCAGCAAAGAAUGCCUGCUGGCUUCAAAGCAUGUUUCACUCUUGGAUGUACUCCAUGGGAUACACAGCAAAAGUAGUGAAGCCUUCCCUCCUCCCAUGAAAACUAGUGAAUCUGACAAUGAUACAUGCUGAUCAAUGAGCAGCCUGUUAAGAAAAAAAUGUAUAGAAAGUCAUUUCUUUGAUUUGCUGUUUUGAAAAGGACAUGUUUUCCUUUGGAGUGAUUUUCACUUCUAAAUCUAAUCUAUUAUUUUGUAGGAGAAACAAUUUGUGUUAACUGGAACUUGAUUAACUUCCUUGUAAUACUCUGUCCUUAAGCUCAUGCUGAUGAUUUGGUUAGAUAGCACAACAUCAAUAAGUGAAUGUUUGUUUUAUAAAAGUUUCUAAAUCUUAGUAUUUUAAUCAUUUCUUUGAAAGAUAAAAAUUUUACUGUAUCAGUACACUAAAGAAAAUUUCUUGGGUGUUACUUUUGGUUUUGUGAAAGAUAUUUGCAUAGGUUUUAUAAUUAAUGCUGAUGGUGAAGAAAACAUUAGUUUCAGAAACAUGGUUUUUUUGGUAUAAAAAUACUGUGGUUGCUGCUAAGGCAAAACCAUAAUAACAACACAUAAUCUAUUCUAAUAAAAUUGAUG
Heterocephalus glaber (naked mole-rat) is the source of this 1747-nucleotide long non-coding RNA. Lineage: Eukaryota; Metazoa; Chordata; Mammalia; Rodentia; Bathyergidae. The record is from Ensembl.